Long non-coding RNA from Dermochelys coriacea (leatherback sea turtle), 1366 nucleotides. RefSeq lists it as uncharacterized. NCBI's taxonomy places the organism in Eukaryota, Metazoa, Chordata, Testudines, Dermochelyidae. The record is from RefSeq and is a predicted model, not a curated record. The transcript has 3 exons.
AACUAAAUCAUUCUGUCAGCAGCCCUGCGAGGAUCCGAGCAGACUCACCGGGCGAGACAGCGCGCGCUUGGACAGACCCGCUGGCCACCACGGCAGGCAGAAAUUUGCAUGCUGUCCUGAUUCAUUAAGGCGCUAACACCACACGCCUCACUGCUGCAGCGCUCCCCCAGCCAAACAAAAUGGUGGCAGCGGGCGGCAAUCCUAGCAGCUAGCGCGCACUGCUCCCUCUCCGAAAGCAAUCAGAUACCACUCCCCCACCCCCAGCCUCCCACCACCCCGCCACGCGGGAGGGGAACAAGGAAACCAGCAACCACAUUUGGGGGUGACAGCAGAGAAAUGAGCGUGGAUUUCCCCUACACUGCUGCUGCGGCCACUGGCUGCCCCGUGCAUUGAUAUGGAAUGUCAUAGAAGACCUGUGAUGCCAUCCCCCUGCUUCCCCAAUGUAGGGGAGGAGAAGUGUGGGAAGAGAAUGCUCUGCGUGUGCCAACUGACAAUGCUCUCAGGGCCGAUACCCAUUGCCCCCAAAGACCAGAGGCACCCAAGAAGAGAGGGCUUUUAAAGAUGUGCCUGAUACACCAUGCAGCACCCCCUUUCCCCCGCACUGCACCAACUGGGAUGUGCGUGGAGCUCAGAGCAGGGUGAACUGAGAGGUGAUGUGUAAGUCACAGCAGGUUUUCACUCACACCUCCACCAUCUGCUACCCCCCAGCCCAGGCCCAGGUGAAGCCCAGCUGGCAGGGGACUUCCCCAAUGCAUCAGGGACACAGCCUGGAGUCUUUUUACACCCCCAAGAACAGCUUCAAGUGGCCAGACCGCUGCCCAUAGUGGGAGCCAGCAUGCACACCUGUCAAACGCCUCGUCUGCGUGAGCUAUGCGCCUGUGUCACCCCACAGACGCCACCUGGCCAAGGCAGGCAUAGGGCCUGAGCCUGGAUCCAGUGGCGUGAGAGCAGAAUCAGGCCCAGGGAGAGUAACCGACACCACCGCUCACAGGGACUUGGCUCACACUGGCUUUCAAGCUCCAGAUUGGCCCUUCCAGGCACAAUGGGCCCGAUUCUGCUCUCUUGUACACCAGUGUAAAUCAGGAGGAACUGCACUGAGAUUAGUGGAUUCAGACUAGAGUAAACAGAAAUCAGGUGAGGUGAGCAGAAAUAGGGCCUUCUCUCUCUCUCCUUCUCCCUCGCCCCACCACCCACACUUUCUACAGACCCCUGAGUCUCGCUCAGUUGCAGGGUGGGCACUGCAGCAAAUUCACCCACUCCCCAGUAUGGCCUUCCAUGGCACCUAAGGUGCUGGGGACCAAAUCCUCUGCUUGUGUAACCUGGCACACUUCCGUAAAGUCACAGAACUCUGCUGGCUUAUGUCAGC